UGGGGAAUUUUGGACAAUUGGGCGAAAGCCUGAUCCAGCAAUGCCGCGUGUGUGAAGAAGGCCUUCGGGUUGUAAAGCACUUUUGUCCGGAAAGAAAUCCUUGGCUCUAAUACAGUCGGGGGAUGACGGUACCGGAAGAAUAAGCACCGGCUAACUACGUGCCAGCAGCCGCGGUAAUACGUAGGGUGCAAGCGUUAAUCGGAAUUACUGGGCGUAAAGCGUGCGCAGGCGGUUUGCUAAGACCGAUGUGAAAUCCCCGGGCUCAACCUGGGAACUGCAUUGGUGACUGGCAGGCUAGAGUAUGGCAGAGGGGGGUAGAAUUCCACGUGUAGCAGUGAAAUGCGUAGAGAUGUGGAGGAAUACCGAUGGCGAAGGCAGCCCCCUGGGCCAAUACUGACGCUCAUGCACGAAAGCGUGGGGAGCAAACAGGAUUAGAUACCCCUGGUAGUCCACGCCCUAAACGAUGUCAACUAGUUGUUGGGGAUUCAUUUCCUUAGUAACGUAGCUAACGCGUGAAGUUGACCGCCUGGGGAGUACGGUCGCAAGAUUAAAACUUAAAGGAAUUGACGGGGUCAUAGCUGUUU
RNAcentral lists this ribosomal RNA (584 nucleotides) under uncultured bacterium. RNAcentral describes it as "partial 16S ribosomal RNA". It matches the Rfam family "Bacterial small subunit ribosomal RNA", at positions 355 to 935 of the family's 1533-position model. The record is from RNAcentral.